AGUGAACGCUGGCGGUAGGCCUAACACAUGCAAGUCGAACGGCAGCACAGUAAGAGCUUGCUCUUACGGGUGGCGAGUGGCGGACGGGUGAGGAAUACAUCGGAAUCUACUUUUUCGUGGGGGAUAACGUAGGGAAACUUACGCUAAUACCGCAUACGACCUACGGGUGAAAGCAGGGGAUCUUCGGACCUUGCGCGAUUGAAUGAGCCGAUGUCGGAUUAGCUAGUUGGCGGGGUAAAGGCCCACCAAGGCGACGAUCCGUAGCUGGUCUGAGAGGAUGAUCAGCCACACUGGAACUGAGACACGGUCCAGACUCCUACGGGAGGCAGCAGUGGGGAAUAUUGGACAAUGGGCGCAAGCCUGAUCCAGCCAUACCGCGUGGGUGAAGAAGGCCUUCGGGGUGUAAAGCCCUUUUGUUGGGAAAGAAAAGCAGCAGGUUAAUACCCCGCUGUUCUGACGGUACCCAAAGAAUAAGCACCGGCUAACUUCGUG
Molecule: ribosomal RNA, 492 nt
Filed under: uncultured bacterium
Lineage: Bacteria
Description: partial 16S ribosomal RNA
Rfam family: Bacterial small subunit ribosomal RNA
Source: RNAcentral